Molecule: non-coding RNA, 135 nt
Organism: Vicia faba (fava bean)
Lineage: Eukaryota; Viridiplantae; Streptophyta; Magnoliopsida; Fabales; Fabaceae
Source: the annotation of a GenBank genome assembly
AUGCCACAAUCUCAUACAAGAAUGAUGAUGGAUAUAAAGCUAAAUCCUAUACAGCAUUCUGUUGCAACUUUAGAGAAAUUGUGUAUGAGCUAUUACAUUUACAAGAACAAGAAUCCUCUUAUUGUUGGAAGAUGA